GAGAGCCUAGUAAAUAUAUUACAUGGCUUUGUCAUAGCCAAAUAACAGCAUCCUGUGGCUCUCA
Molecule: transfer RNA, 64 nt
Filed under: Xenopeltis hainanensis
Lineage: Eukaryota; Metazoa; Chordata; Lepidosauria; Squamata; Xenopeltidae
Description: tRNA-Asp
Source: RNAcentral